This 64-nucleotide transfer RNA is filed under the name Chtenopteryx sicula. Its description in RNAcentral is "tRNA-Tyr". Lineage: Eukaryota; Metazoa; Mollusca; Cephalopoda; Oegopsida; Chtenopterygidae. The record is from RNAcentral.
UGUGAGGUGGUCGAUCUAAGUCGGUAGAUUGUAAAUCUAUGUAUGAGUUAUUACUCUCUCAUAA